AUUAAAACUUCUACACCUAACCUUUUUUCUUAAUCCAACAUCGAGGUCGCACUCUUUUUUAUCAAUAUGAACUCUCCAAAAUAAUUACGCUGUUAUCCCUAAAGUAACUUAUUUUAUAAUCAUUAAUAAUUAUUCAAUUAUUCAUAAAUUAAUGAAAAAAUAAAUAUAAAAGUUUAUUAAAUUUUACUAUCACCCCAAUAAAAUAUUUUUUAAAAAUAACAUAAAUAUUCUUUAUAAUAAUAUUUUAUAAAAAUAUAAAGAUUUAUAGGGUCUUCUCGUCUUUUAAUAAUAUUUAAGCUUUUUUACUCAAAAAUAAAAUUCAAAUAAUUUUUAUAAAAAAACAGUUAAUAUUUCAUCCAACCAUUCAUUCCAGUUCUCAAGUAAAAAACUAAUUAUUAUGCUACCUUUGUACAGUCAAUAUACUGCAGCCAUUUAAAUAAUCAGUGGGC
Molecule: ribosomal RNA, 449 nt
Filed under: Eucampsipoda penthetoris
Lineage: Eukaryota; Metazoa; Arthropoda; Insecta; Diptera; Nycteribiidae
Description: partial 16S ribosomal RNA
Source: RNAcentral